UGCCAGCCGCCGCGGUAAUACGGAGGGGGCAAGCGUUAAUCGGAAUUACUGGGCGUAAAGGGCACGUAGGUGGCCAAUUAAGUCAGAUGUGAAAUACCUGGGCUCAACCUAGGCACUGCAUUUGAAACUGGUAGGCUAGAGUAUGGUAGAGGGAAGUGGAAUUUCCGGUGUAGCGGUGAAAUGCGUAGAUAUCGGAAGGAACACCAGUGGCGAAGGCGACUUUCUGGACCAAUACUGACACUGAGGUGCGAAAGCGUGGGUAGCGAACAGGAUUAGAUA
RNAcentral lists this ribosomal RNA (279 nucleotides) under uncultured bacterium. RNAcentral describes it as "partial 16S ribosomal RNA". It matches the Rfam family "Bacterial small subunit ribosomal RNA", at positions 506 to 784 of the family's 1533-position model. The record is from RNAcentral.